ACUCCUACGGGAGGCAGCAGUGGGGAAUCUUGCACAAUGGGCGAAAGCCUGAUGCAGCAACGCCGCGUGCGGGAAGAAGGCCCUAGGGUUGUAAACCGCUUUCAGCAGGGAAGAAAAUGACGGUACCUGCAGAAGAAGGUGCGGCCAACUACGUGCCAGCAGCCGCGGUGACACGUAGGCACCAAGCGUUAUCCGGAUUUAUUGGGCGUAAAGAGCUCGUAGGCGGUUUGGUAAGUCGGGGUGUGAAAACUCUGGGGCUCAACCCAGAGAGGCCACCCGAUACUGCUAUGACUAGAGUACGGUAGGGGAGCGGGGAAUUCAUGGUGUAGCGGUGAAAUGCGCAGAUAUCAUGAGGAACACCAGCGGCGAAGGCGCCGCUCUGGGCCGUAACUGACGCUGAGGAGCGAAAGCGUGGGUAGCAAACAGGAUUAGAUA
RNAcentral lists this ribosomal RNA (435 nucleotides) under uncultured bacterium. RNAcentral describes it as "bacterial SSU rRNA". It matches the Rfam family "Bacterial small subunit ribosomal RNA", at positions 335 to 784 of the family's 1533-position model. The record is from RNAcentral.